GACGAACGCUGGCGGCGUGCCUAAUACAUGCAAGUCGAGCGGAGUUAGAGAAGCUUGCUUCUCUAACUUAGCGGCGGACGGGUGAGUAACACGUGGGCAACCUACCUUGUAGAUUGGGAUAACUCCGGGAAACCGGGGCUAAUACCGAAUAAUCCAUUUUGCUUCAUGGCGAGAUGUUAAAAGGCGGCUUCGGCUGUCACUACGAGAUGGGCCCGCGGCGCAUUAGCUAGUUGGUAGGGUAAUGGCCUACCAAGGCGACGAUGCGUAGCCGACCUGAGAGGGUGAUCGGCCACACUGGGACUGAGACACGGCCCAGACUCCUACGGGAGGCAGCAGUAGGGAAUCUUCCACAAUGGACGAAAGUCUGAUGGAGCAACGCCGCGUGAGUGAAGAAGGUUUUCGGAUCGUAAAACUCUGUUGUAAGGGAAGAACACGUACGAGAGUAACUGCUCGUACCUUGACGGUACCUUAUUAGAAAGCCACGGCUAACUACGUG
RNAcentral lists this ribosomal RNA (496 nucleotides) under uncultured bacterium. Its description in RNAcentral is "bacterial SSU rRNA". It matches the Rfam family "Bacterial small subunit ribosomal RNA", at positions 28 to 507 of the family's 1533-position model. The record is from RNAcentral.